This is a long non-coding RNA of Papaver somniferum (opium poppy), 914 nucleotides long. RefSeq lists it as uncharacterized. NCBI's taxonomy places the organism in Eukaryota, Viridiplantae, Streptophyta, Magnoliopsida, Ranunculales, Papaveraceae. The transcript has 2 exons. The record is from RefSeq and is a predicted model, not a curated record.
GUACCUUCACUUCUUCGAAGUGGAGGAUAUAAUCAGUUCUGUUGCUUUUGUCCAGGAGAUGGUUCGACCCACUAUAUUGAGCGGUUCAGAGGUAAGUUAGGUUGAUUGGAUGUUCUCACUCUCCCUACAACAUUAUGUGUAGUGAGGUAAGUUAGGUAAUUUAUUACCAAAGACACCAUCAGAUGUCUGCUUUACUUAACAGUUUGUGGAUUUUCAGUUUACACUGAGCUCUAUCAAUAAUUGGUUUUGAUAUUUCUUAACUCUAAAUUCUUAAAAGCACUCUACAUUUAGUUACAUUUGUAGGAACAUUGACAGAAUCGUACUCCAUGUGCUUGCUUAAACAUAGGUUUGGUGGUUGAGAAAGCUGACUCCGAAGUUUAUAAAGUAGCAGGAACAAAUUAAGGAUAUAAAGUUCUAGCAGUGCAACCUCAAACUAUUGUACUAUGGAGAUCAUCGAUAGGUGCUGAUUCUUUCCUAGAGGAAACAACGUCGACCAAACUUUCACUAUGCCUAGCUAGGUGUUGUAGAUCCAUGAACUUGCCUUACAGAUGUAACAGCUAUGCUCAGUUCAACUUGGAUGAGGUGAAUGAAGUCUAUACUUGAUGUACCAUCUGAAUUCUUUUAGGAAAGAUGUAAGAUCAUAUUUUAAUGAAAUGGUGAGUUUCUUCGGCGACCACUACUAUGGCAUCAAAAAAAAUUCUCAAUGUAUUCGCACCUGAACACUUAACAGAUAAGUUCCGUACAAGUUUUGUCAAUCGAAUCCUAUGUAAGUUUAGAAUAAUGGUUUUGAUUUGUGGUUUGAUCAAGUUUAGAUGUGGUUUGAUCUGAUUUGAAUGUAUAACUUACUAUUGCCAUUAUGUGUACCUGUAAAUCUUUAGACGUCAGAUGUAUGGCUAUUUGGGAACAACUUACCA